Molecule: RNA transcript, 2767 nt
Organism: Juglans regia (Persian walnut)
Lineage: Eukaryota; Viridiplantae; Streptophyta; Magnoliopsida; Fagales; Juglandaceae
Gene name: probable pre-mRNA-splicing factor ATP-dependent RNA helicase DEAH2
Exons: 7
Source: RefSeq, a predicted model, not a curated record
CUGCUUUUCAAUCAGUCAUAAUAAUCCUAGGGUUUGUGUUAUGCUUCGAAUUGGAGUCAGAUUUUGUCUGAUUUUUUAAAACUAGGAUCCGGAGGUCCCGACUUGUUCGGGUUCGGUACGUUUAGGAUUAGAGUUAGGUUUUCUGAUGGGCACGGAAAGGAAGAGAAAGGUGAGCUUGUUCGAUGUGGUGGACGACACCUCGUUGCCGGGGAAGAUCGGGAAAUCGAACGGCGGAGGAGGAGUAGCUGCGGCGGCGAUGAGCAACAAUGGUAUCAGUAGUGGGAUCAAUAGGUGGACAGGGAGGGCGUACUCGCAAAGGUACCAUGAGAUACUGGAGAAGAGGAGGAGCUUACCCGUGUGGCACCAGAAGGAGGAGUUCUUGCAGGUCCUCAAGGCGAAUCAGAGUAUUAUCCUCGUCGGUGAGACUGGCAGUGGCAAAACCACGCAGAUUCCCCAAUUCGUUUUGGAAGCUGUUGAUAUAGAAACUCCAGAUAAACGCAGAAAGAUGAUGAUUGCAUGCACCCAACCUCGUAGGGUUGCUGCAAUGUCUGUUUCACGCCGUGUGGCCGAAGAGAUGGAUGUAACUAUUGGAGAAGAGGUUGGUUAUAGCAUCCGUUUUGAAGACUGCAGUAGUGCAAGAACAGUUUUGAAGUAUCUAACAGAUGGUAUGCUCUUAAGAGAAGCGAUGACAGAUCCACUUCUAGAACGCUACAAAGUUAUAAUACUCGAUGAGGCUCAUGAAAGAACAUUGGCAACGGAUGUUCUAUUUGGACUUCUGAAGGAAGUAUUGAAAAAUAGAUCUGACCUUAAGGUAGUUGUGAUGAGUGCAACUCUUGAAGCUGAAAAGUUUCAGGGUUAUUUUAAUGGUGCACCGCUUAUGAAAGUUCCUGGUAGGCUUCAUCCAGUGGAGAUAUUCUACACCCAGGAACCUGAAAGGGACUAUCUGGAGGCGGCAAUUCGAACAGUAGUGCAGAUCCACAUGUGUGAACCUCCUGGAGAUAUACUUGUGUUCCUCACCGGCGAGGAGGAGAUAGAAGAUGCAUGCCGAAAAAUAUCAAAAGAGGUUGCAAAUCUGGGUGACCAGGUGGGACCUGUGAAAGCAGUGCCUUUGUAUUCUCCCCUCCCGCCAGCAAUGCAGCAGAAGAUAUUUGAACCAGCUCCACCUUCAGCAAAGGAGGGUGGUCCUCCAGGAAGGAAGAUUGUGGUGUCAACAAACAUUGCAGAAACUUCUCUGACCAUCGAUGGUAUAGUAUAUGUUAUUGACCCUGGGUUUGCGAAACAAAAAGUUUAUAACCCAAGAGUGCGUGUUGAAUCCUUGUUGGUAUCUCCGAUAUCUAAGGCUAGUGCACACCAGAGAUCAGGGCGUGCUGGAAGAACUCAGCCUGGGAAAUGCUUUAGACUCUAUACGGAGAGAAGCUUCAAUAAUGAUCUUCAGCCACAGACCUAUCCAGAAAUAUUGAGAUCAAACCUUGCAAAUACUGUUCUUACCUUGAAAAAACUGGGGAUAGAUGAUCUUGUGCAUUUUGAUUUUAUGGACCCACCUGCCCCGGAGACAUUGAUGCGCGCCCUAGAGGUUUUGAAUUACUUGGGUGCAUUAGAUGAUGAUGGAAAUUUAACAAAGCUUGGGGAAAUUAUGAGCGAAUUUCCAUUAGAUCCUCAGAUGUCAAAGAUGCUCGUUGUUAGCACUGAAUUCAAUUGUUCAAAUGAAAUUCUUUCAAUCUCUGCCAUGCUUUCAGUUUCUCAGUAUUCUCUCAUGAAGCAAAUGGUAUCGCGCCUCUAUGCAUCUGCUGACCUCCGUGGGCCUCCUCUGUGAUAACCAAUUUCUUUCUUUAGUACCCAAUUGCUUUGUCCGGCCUAGGGAGGCUCAAAAAGCUGCUGAUGAAGCGAAAGCUAGGUUUGGGCACAUCGAUGGAGAUCACCUCACACUCUUGAAUGUAUAUCAUGCUUACAAGCAAAACAGCGAGGAUCCCUCUUGGUGUUAUGAUAACUUUGUCAAUAAUAGGGCAUUGAAGUCUGCUGAUAACGUUAGACAACAGCUAGUGCGGAUCAUGGCCAGGUUUAACCUCAAGUUGUGUAGCACUGAUUUCAACAGCCGUGACUACUACAUCAACAUAAGGAAGGCUAUGCUAGCAGGGUACUUCAUGCAGGUAGCUCACAUGGAACGUACUGGACACUACUUGACAGUGAAAGACAACCAAGUGGUGCACUUGCAUCCAUCGAAUUGCUUGGAUCACAAGCCAGAGUGGGUAAUUUAUAAUGAGUAUGUGCUAACCAGCAGGAAUUUCAUUCGCACGGUGACAGACAUUCGUGGUGAAUGGCUGAUUGAUAUAGCACCACACUACUAUGAUCUGACGAACUUCCCUCAGUGCGAGGCCAAACGUGUUCUUGAAAGGCUUUACAAGAAGCGGGAGAAGGACAGGGAGGAGAGCAAGAACAGAAAAUGAAAAGUUCUUGCCGUCCAUAUCUUUUGACUACUUGCAUGUGUCUUCUCCAUAGACAUGGAGAAGGCCAUACGUAUUUAGCUGGAUUCUUUCAUUGUAUUAUCUGGCUCAUCUACUCUCAAAAGAGCCAGUGUCUCGGUGAAAGCUCUGGAAAUUUGGCAAAAUUUCUGUAUCAUUACCUAGUGUUAGUUUUAGUGAGUUAUAAUUUUGUAUUGUGUCGUCUAUCUCAAAUUGUUUGUGGAUUUGGUGGUUUCAUUGCCAUUUAAACUUAUCAAGAAAGCGAUUAAAAUUUUGAGAAAAAAUGGGGAAUGAAUCUGAUAUGAUCA